This 723-nucleotide unclassified non-coding RNA is filed under the name Dendronephthya gigantea. Its description in RNAcentral is "uncharacterized LOC114543588, transcript variant X1". Lineage: Eukaryota; Metazoa; Cnidaria; Anthozoa; Malacalcyonacea; Nephtheidae. The record is from RNAcentral.
GGCCAAGGCAAGUGUAAAUGACUUCAUUGACCGUUGAGGCAUUUGUGCUGUACAAAGGUGUUAUCAUGCAAAGACGUGUCAUUACUAUAAUUUGCUGCAACAAGCGAUAUACCAGUGGAACUUCAAAAUCCACAUGUCAUCAAGAAACAUCAGAUGUUUGUUUGAAUCCUCAAAACAGUACCCGACUCCGCAGUUUUAAAUUCUUCGUACGAAAACAAGAACAACGUGAACUACUUGACAAGCCUGGGUAUUGCAAUGGGUCCCUCUGUUCUCCAAUGUACGUCACUUCCGGUGAAAAAGCCACGAAAAAAAGCCAACUUUGAGGCCCGAAUAAACGAAUGCGUCAUCGAAGAAAGAAUGCGUCAACAGCGCGCCAUAAUUAAGCGUUCGACCGCAUCUGAAGCUUUACCUCGAAAGGUCGCAGAGAGUGUAACAAACGAAAACUGCUCACCGAGAAACAUUCUGCGAAAUGGUGCAACAUUGCUAAAGAAGCAAGAGAUCUUAGGUCUCGCCUACAGAAACAAACAUAUAUUACGCAGCACGGUUUUUACCCUGGGUGACACAUUGGACGAGACGAGGCAGCUCGUCGUGAAGAGAAGCGUGGCGUCAUAGAAUUUCACGUCGUUGGGAACUGGCUGCGAGGACAGCUCUCUCAAAAGAAUAUUAUGUGGUUGAUUGGCUUGACAAAAAGUAUUUUCAUAUCAACUAACGCGAAUGCCGAAA